GUCGAUGUUGACGGCUACGGUUACGUUAAUUUCAAAGAACUCAAGAAAAAGUUGGGUAGGCCUUCGUCAAGAAAAAGUAACUUCUAGAUAGUUGUCAGGUGAAUUUGUAUAUUCACAAUCACACUUCAUCGUCUUUCCUUAUUAUAUGGUUCUAUCUUAUUGAGAAUUAGUAAAUUUUUGUUGCAUCUGCAAAUAGUGGGUACCUUUGGUCAAAUUUGAUGGGAAAGAUACAACAAAAAUCAAUUCUCAAAAUCACUGUCGAAAAAAAAAAGGAAUGCUUUUUAU
Molecule: long non-coding RNA, 285 nt
Filed under: Olea europaea (common olive)
Lineage: Eukaryota; Viridiplantae; Streptophyta; Magnoliopsida; Lamiales; Oleaceae
Description: long non-coding RNA (OEUR_LNC009177)
Source: RNAcentral